AUCAACUUUCGAUGGUAGGAUAGAGGCCUACCAUGGUGGUAACGGGUAACGGGGUGUUAGGGCACGACACCGGAGAGGGAGCCUGAGAAACGGCUACCACAUCCAAGGAUGGCAGCAGGCGCGCAAAUUACCCAAUCCCGACACGGGGAGGUAGUGACAAUAAAUAACAAUACGGGGUUCUUUCGGAUUUCGUAAUUGGAAUGAGUACAAUUUAAAUCUCUUAACGAGGAACAAUUGGAGGGCAAGUCUGGUGCCAGCAGCCGCGGUAAUUCCAGCUCCAAUAGCGUAUAUUAAAGUUGCUGCAGUUAAAAAGCUCGUAGUUGAAUUUCGGGACCAAUAUGUCGGUCGUGCCUCGGUACGUACUGGCAUCGUUGGUUUCUCCCUUCUGACGAACCAUGAUGUCGUUUAUUUGGUGUCGUGGGGAAUCAGGACUGUUACUUUGAAAAAAUUAGAGUGUUUAAAGCAGGCUCACGCUUGAAUACAUUAGCAUGGAAUAAUGAAAUAGGACGUUUGAUUCUAUUUUGUUGGUUUCUAGGAUCGACGUAAUGAUUAAUAGGGAUAGUUGGGGGCAUUAGUAUUCAAUUGUCAGAGGUGAAAUUCUUGGAUUUAUUGAAGACUAACUACUGCGAAAGCAUUUGCCAAGGAUGUUUUCAUUAAUCAAGAACGAAAGUUAGGGGAUCGAAGACGAUCAGAUACCGUCGUAGUCUUAACCAUAAACUAUGCCGACUAGGGAUCGGAUGAUGUUAAUUUUUUAAUGACUCAUUCGGCGCCUUACGGGAAACCAAAGUGUAAUCACUAGUGCGGCCGCCUGCAGGUCGACCAUAUGGGAGAGCUCCCAACGCGUUGGAUGCAUAGCUUGAGUAUUCUAUAGUGUCACCUAAAUAGCUUGGCGUAAUCAUGGUCAUAGCUGUUUCCUGUGUGAAUUGUUAUCCGCUCACAAUUCCACACAACAUACGAGCCGGAAGCAUAAAGUGUAAAGCCUGGGGUGCCUAAUGAGUGAGCUACUCACAUU
Molecule: ribosomal RNA, 1012 nt
Filed under: uncultured Glomus
Lineage: Eukaryota; Fungi; Glomeromycota; Glomeromycetes; Glomerales; Glomeraceae
Description: bacterial SSU rRNA
Rfam family: Eukaryotic small subunit ribosomal RNA (bases 1-825)
Source: RNAcentral